CGAGAAAGCCCGCAAGGGUGAGUACAGCGGCGCACGGGUGCGUAACACGUGGGUAAUCUGCCCUGGAGCCCGGAAUAACCUCCCGAAAGGGAAGCUAAUGCCGGAUGAGCCCACGGGGUCCUUGGACCCUGAGGGAAAAGGUGGCCUCUGCAUGCAAGCUAUCACUUCAGGAUGAGCCCGCGGCCCAUCAGCUCGUUGGCGGGGUAACGGCCCACCAAGGCUACGACGGGUAGCUGGUCUGAGAGGACGAUCAGCCACACUGGAACUGAGACACGGUCCAGACUCCUACGGGAGGCAGCAGUGGGGAAUCUUGCGCAAUGGGCGAAAGCCUGACGCAGCAACGCCGCGUGUGUGAUGAAGGUCUUCGGAUCGUAAGGCACUGUCGCGAGGGACG
This 394-nucleotide ribosomal RNA is filed under the name uncultured Anaeromyxobacter sp. RNAcentral's name for it is "bacterial SSU rRNA". It matches the Rfam family "Bacterial small subunit ribosomal RNA", at positions 67 to 447 of the family's 1533-position model. The record is from RNAcentral. Lineage: Bacteria; Pseudomonadati; Myxococcota; Myxococcia; Myxococcales; Anaeromyxobacteraceae.